This 439-nucleotide ribosomal RNA is filed under the name uncultured bacterium. RNAcentral's name for it is "bacterial SSU rRNA". It matches the Rfam family "Bacterial small subunit ribosomal RNA", at positions 958 to 1398 of the family's 1533-position model. The record is from RNAcentral.
AACGCGAAGAACCUUACCCAGGCUGGACAUACAGGAGACGAUAGCAGAGAUGCUAUUUUCCGCAAGGACUGCUGUACAGGUGCUGCAUGGCUGUCGUCAGCUCGUGCCGUGAGGUGUUGGGUUAAGUCCCGCAACGAGCGCAACCCUUAUCAUUAGUUGCCAACACUUAAGGUGGGGACUCUAAUGAGACUGCCUAGGUUAACUAGGAGGAAGGUGAGGAUGACGUCAAGUCCGCAUGGCCUUUAUGUCUGGGGCUACACACGUGCUACAAUGGUCGGUACAGAAGGCAGCGAAGUCGUAAGAUGGAGCAAAUCCCCAAAGCCGAUCUCAGUUCAGAUUGUAGUCUGCAACUCGACUACAUGAAGUUGGAAUUGCUAGUAAUGGCGUGUCAGCAACAGCGCCGUGAAUACGUUCCCGGGCCUUGUACACACCGAGUAUA